CGUCAAGUCAUCAUGCCCCUUAUGCCCAGGGCUGCACGCAUGCUACAAUGGCCGGUACAAUGGGUUGCAAAACCGCGAGGUGGAGCCAAUCCCCAAAGCCGGUCUCAGUUCGGAUUGCAGGCUGCAACUCGCCUGCAUGAAGCCGGAGUUGCUAGUAACCGCGCGUCAGCCAUAGUGCGGUGAAUACGUUCCCGGGCCUU
Molecule: ribosomal RNA, 200 nt
Filed under: uncultured organism
Description: partial small subunit ribosomal RNA
Rfam family: Bacterial small subunit ribosomal RNA
Source: RNAcentral